This 325-nucleotide ribosomal RNA is filed under the name uncultured eukaryote. Its description in RNAcentral is "LSU rRNA". It matches the Rfam family "Bacterial large subunit ribosomal RNA", at positions 2154 to 2478 of the family's 2925-position model. The record is from RNAcentral.
GCGUUGAGCAUGUUCUUGCGGGAACAUAGGAGCCAUCAGUGAGAUACCACUCUUCUAAUGUUAGAUUUCUAACCUUGUACCAUUAUCUGGUCAAGGAACAGUUUCAGGCGGGCAGUUUGACUGGGGCGGUCGCCUCCUAAAUGGUAACGGAGGCGUACGAAGGUUUCCUCUGAACGAAUAGAAAUCGUAUCUAGAGUAUAAAGGCAUAAGGAAGCUUGACUGUGAGACCUACAAGUCGAGCAGGGACGAAAGUCGGUCUUAGUGAUCUGACGGUACUGAGUGGAAAGGCCGUCACUCAACGGAUAAAAGUUACUCUAGGGAUAAC